Molecule: long non-coding RNA, 544 nt
Organism: Juglans microcarpa x Juglans regia
Lineage: Eukaryota; Viridiplantae; Streptophyta; Magnoliopsida; Fagales; Juglandaceae
Exons: 3
Source: RefSeq, a predicted model, not a curated record
UCGUGGAAAGUAAAAGGUGGUUCACAGUAUAGGCUCCAAAAGCUAUACCCGAUAUGCUAGUGAGUGGGAAAAAAAGACAGGCGCUUUGCCAAGUCGAGCACAAUUAUUUGUAAAUACCCACAAACGUAAGAAUGGCACACAUUUGAACAAUGAAACGGAAAAAAUAGUGAUUGAAAUGGAGGAGCUCCUUACCCAAGACCCCACCUCCAGACUAGGAGGUACUGGAGGGACCAUGACUUGGGCUACUAAUGAUAUUUAUUCCAAGGUCAUGGGCCCAGAAUGUCAUGAGCGAGUGCGUGGUUUAGGUUUUGGGCAAACCACAAAAAAGGGGUGCAGCAUGCAUUCAACAUCUACAUCAACAUCCACUGACAUUAGCCAAAUUGCCAAUAUGCUAUCGGUGAUGGAGAUGAUGCAGAACGAGUUAACUGUGUUCAAAAACAUGUUUUAUGACUACAUUCAAGCACAAGUUACUAAAAAAAGUAGUUUCAUAUGAACUAGCUUCAGUUUUAUUUAUUAUAAGUAAUUUUAUGCAUUUAUCUUUGAU